UGAGGAAUAUUGGUCAAUGGACGGAAGUCUGAACCAGCCAAGUAGCGUGCAGGAUGACGGCCCUAUGGGUUGUAAACUGCUUUUGUAUGGGGAUAAAGUUAGGGACGUGUCCCUAUUUGCAGGUACCAUACGAAUAAGGACCGGCUAAUUCCGUGCCAGCAGCCGCGGUAAUACGGAAGGUCCAGGCGUUAUCCGGAUUUAUUGGGUUUAAAGGGAGCGUAGGCUGGAGAUUAAGUGUGUUGUGAAAUGUAGACGCUCAACGUCUGAAUUGCAGCGCAUACUGGUUUCCUUGAGUACGCACAACGUUGGCGGAAUUCGUCGUGUAGCGGUGAAAUGCUUAGAUAUGACGAAGAACUCCGAUUGCGAAGGCAGCUGACGGGAGCGCAACUGACGCUUAAGCUCGAAGGUGCGGGUAUCAAACAGGAUUAGAUACCCUGGUAGUCCGCACAGUAACGAUGGAUGCCCGCUGUUGGUACCUGGUACCAGCGGCUAAGCGAAAGCAUUAAGCAUCCCACCUGGGGAGUACGCCGGCNCGGU
RNAcentral lists this ribosomal RNA (537 nucleotides) under uncultured bacterium. RNAcentral's name for it is "bacterial SSU rRNA". It matches the Rfam family "Bacterial small subunit ribosomal RNA", at positions 355 to 895 of the family's 1533-position model. The record is from RNAcentral.